CCUACGGGAGGCAGCAGUAAGGAAUAUUGGUCAAUGGACGCAAGUCUGAACCAGCCAUGCCGCGUGAAGGAUUAAGGCCCUCUGGGUUGUAAACUUCUUUUAUAGGGGAAGAAAUGCAUUUUUUCUUGAGUGCUUGACGGUACCCUAGGAAUAAGCACCGGCUAACUCCGUGCCAGCAGCCGCGGUAAUACGGAGGGUGCCAGCGUUAUCCGGAUUCACUGGGUUUAAAGGGUGCGUAGGUGGGCAGAUAAGUCAGUGGUGAAAUCUUCCGGCUUAACCGGGAAACUGCCGUUGAUACUAUUUGUCUUGAAUAUUGCGGAGGUAAGCGGAAUAUGUCGUGUAGCGGUGAAAUGCUUAGAUAUGACAUAGAACACCAAUUGCGAAGGCAGCUUACUACACAAUUAUUGACACUGAUGCACGAAAGCGUGGGGAGCGAACAGGAUUAGAUACCCUGGUAGUCCACGCCCUAAACGAUGAUUACUCGACAUACGCGAUACACUGUGUGUGUCUGAGCGAAAGCAUUAAGUAAUCCACCUGGGAAGUACGACCGCAAGGUUGAAACUCAAAGGAAUUGACGG
RNAcentral lists this ribosomal RNA (578 nucleotides) under uncultured bacterium. Its description in RNAcentral is "bacterial SSU rRNA". It matches the Rfam family "Bacterial small subunit ribosomal RNA", at positions 338 to 916 of the family's 1533-position model. The record is from RNAcentral.